GAUGAACGCUGGCGGCGUGCCUAAUACAUGCAAGUAGAACGCUGAAGGAAGGAGCUUGCUCUUUCCGGAUGAGUUGCGAACGGGUGAGUAACGCGUAGGUAACCUGCCUGGUAGCGGGGGAUAACUAUUGGAAACGAUAGCUAAUACCGCAUAACAGUAGAUGUUGCAUGAUAUCUACUUAAAAGGUGCAAUUGCACCACUACCAGAUGGACCUGCGUUGUAUUAGCUAGUUGGUGAGGUAACGGCUCACCAAGGCGAAGAUACAUAGCCGACCUGAGAGGGGGGUCGGCCACAACGGGACUGAGAAACGGCCCAGAAUCCCACGGGAGGCAGCAGGAGGGAAUCUUCGGCAAUGGACGGAAGGCUGAACGAGGAACGCCGCGGGAGGGAAGAAGGGUUUCGGAUCGGAAAGCUCGGUUGUAAGAGAAGAACGAGUGUGAGAGUGGAAAGUUCACACUGUGACGGUAUCUUACCAGAAAGGGACGGCUAACUACGUG
Molecule: ribosomal RNA, 497 nt
Filed under: uncultured bacterium
Lineage: Bacteria
Description: partial 16S ribosomal RNA
Rfam family: Bacterial small subunit ribosomal RNA
Source: RNAcentral